GCCGGGAUGGCGGAAGGGUAGACGCAUUCGACUUAAAAUCGAACGGGAAACCGUGCGGGUUCAAGUCCCGCUCUCGGCACCA
Molecule: transfer RNA, 82 nt
Filed under: Deinococcus radiopugnans
Lineage: Bacteria; Thermotogati; Deinococcota; Deinococci; Deinococcales; Deinococcaceae
Also listed under: 6 other names
Description: tRNA-Leu (TAA) (tRNA-Leu-TAA-1-1)
Rfam family: tRNA
About the family: Transfer RNA (tRNA) molecules are approximately 80 nucleotides in length. Their secondary structure includes four short double-helical elements and three loops (D, anti-codon, and T loops). Further hydrogen bonds mediate the characteristic L-shaped molecular structure. tRNAs have two regions of fundamental functional importance: the anti-codon, which is responsible for specific mRNA codon recognition, and the 3' end, to which the tRNAs corresponding amino acid is attached (by aminoacyl-tRNA synthetases). tRNAs cope with the degeneracy of the genetic code in two manners: having more than one tRNA (with a specific anti-codon) for a particular amino acid; and 'wobble' base-pairing, i.e. permitting non-standard base-pairing at the 3rd anti-codon position.
Source: RNAcentral